UCACGAUAGAAAAAAAGGUCCCGAAUAGGUGCUGCAUCGCCCCCACCGCUUCGCCUCGAUUGGCACCGGCGAAGGCCACCCCGCCGCUCGACCUCGACUCGCACUGGAGGCGACCACCACCAUCCUCCCUGCUCCCUCCCCUCCCCCAACUCGAUAUGGAUGCCUAACCUGCGGGAACGGGCAGGCGGCCGGCGGGCGAUGUGAGGCGCGGUGGCGGCACGAGGAAGACGGGCAGAUCCGGGCACGGCGUCGACCGAUCUGGCGGCUGGUGCGGCGGCUUGUUCCUGUCCCAACGGCGUCCUGCUCAUCCAUAGAAGGAGAGAGAAGGGCCCGAGGGAGAGAGGAAAUAGAUGAAGAAAGGAGAAGGGGCGAUCACAGGGUGAGGGAGGCAGUCGCCGGCGAUGGCGGCUCCGGUGACUGGUCGACGGGCUUGCUAGGCAAGGCUAAGGAGUACGCUAGGCUGAGAUUCGAUAGAGGGAAGAAGUUGUGGUGGCGGCGAAUUAUGCAGCCAUUGUCUCUCACAACCGCCGGCCCCUGCUCGCGACAUAUCUACUGAAGCCGCCUCUGCCUACUCCGGUGUGUUGCAGCUCCUUACUCUAGCCACAUGUCGCUUGCUCUCCCGCUAGCCUCUGCCUGCUCUAGUCUCGAAGUUGAUGACACCCUAAUGCAAAGCUCCCACAAUCAUCCGCUCCGUCUCAGCGUAAGAAUCAUGCUCGCACAUUACCUGUCAACUAGAUUAGUUCAUUGCGUAUGUGUGUAGCCAUGCUUUAGUUUUAGUAAUCGUUUGAUAUUACAGUUUGGUUACCCUUUUCUGCUUUGUUAGAAAAAACAUGUCCAACUGCAGAAAAGGAGUUUGUAUCCAGCUUGACCUCCAUAGCAGGAAGAUUUUUGUAAUCGUUCUAUCAAUGUUCUAUUAAUGGACAGAGGAGGAGAGCAAUGGAAAUAACACCCCGUCGCGGUCCUGGUGCUUCUCUCCGUGGGUUCGCUUACCUCGGCGUUUGUGGCUUCUACAGGUACGUACUAGACGACUACCCAUUGUUUUUGUUUUCUAUUGACAGUUUGAUCGCUUCAUCAAUCCUUCUAGAGGGUCUUGACAGGAAGGAUUGAGCAGCCACUGUGCUGGAGUAGACUAUGUGACAGGUUUUUUCCUCUCUCUCCUACCCGUGAUUGGUUUCUUUGGUGAAGAAAGCAUCACUAUCUUUCAAUACAUCAUGGAUGCUCAACUUGUAUGUCUACAUGGUACAAGAAUGAAGAUUAACCAUUCAAUCUAUUGAUUCAGAGUGAGACAAGGGUGAAACAGAAUAAGCUCAUUUUUGUGGUGAGUUCCCUAGGCCCCAGAACUAGCAUUUUAAUUACAAAAUUCAGUCUUUGAUCACGUUAUUUCAGUUUCAUUAUAGACCUUAUAAUAUUUUUUAUGCAUUAAUAUAAGGUUUAUAAUAUUUUGUGGAGCAAUCAGUUGUGCAUAGAAAAGAGCUCACCUAAAUUAAUGACACGUUCAUCUUAUCUUCGAUUAAAAAAAUUUGCCCCCUAAUAUUCAGUUCUACUGAGAGUUGUAGAAGGCAAAAAUCCAGCAAAUUAACUCAAGUAAGUGUUUUUGGUAUUUCCCAACGUAAUUAAAAAAUUUCUUCUCAAAAUACGACAUGGUCAUUGUCGGAAAAGAAUAUUUAGCAUGAAUGUAGGUGCUUUCAUAUGAAGCUGGACAUGUUUACAAUGAUCGACCGGAUAUCGUUACACGUGUCCUGAAGUUUAAUGAUUUCUGAGAAGUUGUUAAAAGUGGACAUUUGUUUCAUACAAUUCAAGCAUGUAAGUUAUAUACAUACUGAUUUUGCCCUGCUUUGUUUUAAUCUUUUCAUUUAUAUAAUCUAACUUUGUCCAUCUAUUUCUCUUCCUCUAUUUUUCGGUUAUCCAAGUUUAUACAUGGUGGGGUUCCAGAAUAGAGGCUUGCCUCAUACUCAUACUUCAAUUCGGCUUAUAGGGAACAAUCAUGAGCCUUCGGCCUCCUUCAUAGAUGGUUUGAUUUCGGCUGAGAUACCUGAUCGUUUGGUUGAGCCCUGGGUUAUGCUCUUAUGGAUUAAUUUAUGGUUCACGGUCCAUGUGGAGACUACAAAGUAAAGUGUGCAUGUAUGAAAGAUGGAUUGUGUUCCAAAAGAUUUCCCAAAGAUUUUAAUGAGAAGACAUCGGUUGAUGAUAGAGGCUUUCCUAUAUAUCAUAGACGUGAUUUGGGUUACUAUGUGAGGAACAAGGGUACUGUUAAGCUGGAUAAUCGAUGGGUAGUUUUCAUAUAAUAGUUUUGGUAAUGUAAUUAUUAAUGUAUAUUUCUGCUUGCGAAGCGUACUGGCAUAUGUUUGCUUUCAAUAUACAUGGUCGUGAGCCUGUAGUGGAGAGAUUGGUUGUGCA
This is a long non-coding RNA of Triticum aestivum (bread wheat), 2397 nucleotides long. RefSeq lists it as uncharacterized. Lineage: Eukaryota; Viridiplantae; Streptophyta; Magnoliopsida; Poales; Poaceae. The transcript has 2 exons. The record is from RefSeq and is a predicted model, not a curated record.